GGGGUAUUAUCCAUCAGCUGAGGAUAUGGUGGGAGAUUCAUCCACCCCUGGGGGUCCUAAUGAUCUGCUAGACAAAAAAAUGUGUGGCAGUCAAGUCAAGGGACUUCUUCCAUGCUGGCUUUGCUGAUUACCAGAAAUCACCCAGACAGAGGUAGAUGUUCUAUGGAGUUCUAGAAACCAGCAGGCUUCCACACGGCAUGACUUCUCUGGCUGUGAAUCCAGGAAGAAGUUGGAGCUGGAGGUUCACUAUACAAAGGCCACUGCUCCUUCCGAGAGCCGUUCUGGAAACUCCCCACCUCUGGCUUCCUCCAGUCCGCCUGCUUCUAUGACUUUUCCCUGCCCAUGAAGAAAGCUACACCUCCAGGUUAUGAGGACAGGGAGCCGAAGUUCCCGUAGCAGUUUUAGGGGAUUUUUACUGAUAAGAUAAGGAGCGACCUUGACACCAAAGGUGUGCUGGCGGCAGUUUUCCCAGGACUGAAUCAAACUUCGAGGU
This is a long non-coding RNA of Mus musculus (house mouse), 493 nucleotides long. RefSeq annotates it as predicted gene, 53600. The transcript has 3 exons. The record is from RefSeq and is a predicted model, not a curated record. Lineage: Eukaryota; Metazoa; Chordata; Mammalia; Rodentia; Muridae.